RNAcentral lists this long non-coding RNA (216 nucleotides) under Lathyrus oleraceus (garden pea). Its description in RNAcentral is "Pisum sativum (pea) long non-coding RNA (PSAT_LNC000693)". Lineage: Eukaryota; Viridiplantae; Streptophyta; Magnoliopsida; Fabales; Fabaceae. The record is from RNAcentral.
AAAGGAGAAAGACAUAGAGUUGCACUUGAUUGAUGGAUAUUUAGUAUUUUUCUGUAUGAGCUUUUAUAUGGUAAAACACAGAGUUGCAACUGAUCAAUGUUUCUUCGUAUUUUUCUAAUUACGAAUAAACAUUAGCCAAUGUCGUGUUGCAAAAUAAAAAAAUGUGUUUUUUGGUUUAUUGGUUUGUAUUGGUUUAUCCCCAGUAACGUGAGCGAG